This 1277-nucleotide ribosomal RNA is filed under the name metagenome. RNAcentral describes it as "SSU rRNA". It matches the Rfam family "Eukaryotic small subunit ribosomal RNA", at positions 477 to 1777 of the family's 1831-position model. The record is from RNAcentral.
AUAACGAUACGGAACUCAUACGAGGCUCCGUAAUCGGAAUGAGUACACUUUAAAUCCUUUAACGAGGAUCUAUUGGAGGGCAAGUCUGGUGCCAGCAGCCGCGGUAAUUCCAGCUCCAAUAGCGUAUAUUAAAGUUGUUGCGGUUAAGAAGCUCGUAGUUGGAUCUCGGUUUCACUCAGGUGGUACACCUUGCGGUGUUCACUAUCUGGGUGGACGUUUCUGUUGGUUCGCUCUUGGUGCUCUUCAUCGGGUGCCAUUUGGUGGCCAGCACGUUUACUUUGAAAAAAUUGGAGUGCUCAAAGCAGGCGUUACAGCCUGAACAUUAGUGCAUGGAAUAAUGGAAUAGGAUCUCGAUUCUAUUUCGUUGGCUUUCGGAGUCGAGGUAAUGAUUAAUAGGGACAGACGGGGGCAUUCGUACUGCGACGUUAGAGGUGAAAUUCUUGGAUCGUCGCAAGACGAACUACUGCGAAAGCAUUUGCCAAGAAUGUUUUCAUUAAUCAAGAACGAAAGUUAGAGGUUCGAAGGCGAUCAGAUACCGCCCUAGUUCUAACCAUAAACGAUGCCAACCGGCGAUCCGUCGUCGUUAAUUGAAUGACUCGACGGGCAGCCUCCGGGAAACCAGAGUGUUUGGGUUCCGGGGGAAGUAUGGUUGCAAAGCUGAAACUUAAAGGAAUUGACGGAAGGGCACCACCAGGAGUGGAGCCUGCGGCUUAAUUUGACCAACACGGGAAAUCUCACCAGGCCCGGACACCGGAAGGAUUGACAGAUUGAGAGCUCUUUCUUGAUUCGGUGGGUGGUGGUGCAUGGCCGUUCUUAGUUGGUGGAGCGAUUUGUCUGGUUAAUUCCGAUAACGAACGAGACUCUGGCCUACUAACUAGAAGGUCUAUCCUUUAUGGGUAGGCCUCUGCUUCUUAGAGGGACGGGCGGCGUUUAGCCGCACGAGAAUGAGCAAUAACAGGUCUGUGAUGCCCUUAGAUGUUCUGGGCUGCACGCGCGCUACACUGAAGGAAUCAGCAUGUUCUCCCCUCCCUGAAAAGGGCGGGUAACCCGUUGAAACUCCUUCGUGAUGGGGAUUGGAGAUUGUAAUUAUUCUCCAUGAACGAGGAAUUCCCAGUAGGCGCGAGUCAUCAGCUUGCGUCGAUUACGUCCCUGCCCUUUGUACACACCGCCCGUCGCUACUACCGAUCGAGUGAUUUAGUGAGGACUUCGGACUGGUCUUCAAGUUGGCUUCGGGCGGCUCGAAGUUCCGGAAAGAUGCCCAAACUUGAUCACUUAGA